This 3164-nucleotide small RNA is filed under the name Rattus norvegicus (Norway rat). RNAcentral describes it as "uncharacterized LOC102546363". Lineage: Eukaryota; Metazoa; Chordata; Mammalia; Rodentia; Muridae. The record is from RNAcentral.
CAGCAUCUUCCCUCUUGGUAAGAGCCAUUAUAACUAGGACUUGCUUUGAGCCUAAAAUCUGAUCUGGUUUGAAGAAAGUUUCAUGAACUGCUGAGAAGAACCCAUUUACCACAGGUAUUGGGUGAAAUAAUUCUGCUGGUGUCUUGUCUGUGUGUCUCGGAGGCAGAGUAUGAGGUGCUGUUGAUGGACUCAGGGUCUUCUUGCAUGCUUAGCAGGUACAUUAUCUAUGCCACCACCUAGCUAACCCUCUUCUGAUGCUUAAAUCCUGAGCAGUUCCCGCAGUGAUAUACUGUAUCCAUGCACUCUCCAUAGCGAUACACUGUAUCCAUGCACUCUCCACAAGCAGUGGGGGGGAUUUUAGUGGUCUUUGCUACAAUGGGUACACAGGAUGAUAGACAGAACCCUGCCAAGGUGCCCUAAGGUUAAUAUGAAAAUAACCUGCCAAGACAUAAGUGGGAAAGAUGGAGAGUGAUGGGCAGCAUAGACUGUAGGUCACAAACCUACCAACACGGGGAAGCUUCGUGUAUACUUAAUAUUGUUUAAAAUAGCAUUGGCUGCCAGGCAUGGUGGACACACCUUUAAUCUCAGCAUUCUGGAGGCAGAGGCAAGCAGAGUGAGUCUCAGGACAGGCAGGGCUGCACAUAAUAAUCCUAUCUCAAAAAACUAACAAACGAACAGCAUUAACGAGCAUCCAGCCUAGUGUCCAGAAUACCCUACACUGCUCUCUCCCUCAGAGUCCUCCCACUGCACUAUGCUUGUGUUCUCCUCCUCAUCCUCCUCCAUUGUGUCCAUGCUCCUUUCCUUACGUCCUCCCUACCCUGUGCUCAAGCUCCUCCUCCAUCAUCCUAUUUCCUGAAUUAUGUCUACCAGUUUGUGGAUUUUGGAGACAGGGACUUUCUGGUCAGUUUCAUUCCUUGUGGAACAUUUGUUACAUGGCUGACUCUUUUUGUUGGUUUUUUUUUUUUUUUUAAUGCCCUUGGUAUAAGCAGUAAGCAAUGGACUUUAAGGCUAGAGCUGCCAGACCCAUUGGUCAGUCUUAAGGCGUUAUGCUUAAAUGUGCCUCCAGACUACCGUGUUUACCCUUAGUUCCCAGUUGCUAUGGCUAAUCUUGGUCAUCAACUUGAUAUACAUGGGAAAACAGAACAUCAAUUGAGGCACUGCCUUCAUCAGAUUGGCUUGUGUAUGUCUAUGGGCGGGGCAUUUUCUUGAUUGUUAACUGAUAGAAGAAGGCUUAGCUCGCUGUGGGUUGAGCCCCCACCCUGGGCAGGUGGUCCAUGAACCUGGAAACAAGCAGAAAGAAACCAUGGUUUCCGAAUCAAGCUACUUCUCUCGAUGAUGGACUAUAAUUUGUAAGGCAAAUAAAUCCUUCCCUUUUCUCCCCCAAGUUUCUUUUGGUCACAGAUUCUGAACACAGCAACAAAAAUCUAGGAGAGUAGCUGAAUGGUGUUGGUAAGUCGCUGACUUCAUUAUCAGAUAACUUAGUGAUGACUUCUGGGCUGAGGAAGCCAUAAGAGUGUGGUCCUGGCUGGGGGAGGACCACUGACACACACCCUGAGGGCUGUGACCUAUGUGCCUGUCCCCAGCUCCUUCCUGGGUCUGCCUCUCCACCACUAGGCCAGCAGCUUUGUCCCACACUUGCUCCUGCAGGAUGCUCAGUCGCACCAGCUCCCCACACUGGCUUGACACUGGGGCCAGAUGGAGGGGUACAGGAUGCUCAGGAACCAUGAACCCUGACAUACUCUCACUGAAGUUGUUCCUGUCAGGCAUCUCGUCACAACCAGAAAAUCCGGACACAUGUGCAGUGUGUCCACAGGACCUGUCACAGCCCUUUCUGGGGCUAAUAAUGCCAGCAGACUUGCUGGUCAGAGCUUGGAGUCUGAUACCUGGAGUCCUGCUUCCUGGUCUCUGCAGCCAGACGCACUCUACAGGCUCAAUAGGCAGGGUGGGGGAGGGGCUGAGACCCUGUAGUGACUCGAACUCUGGAUCAGGAUUUUUGACCUCAGUUUCCUGACUAUAAACUGAGAGGUUUCAGAAAGUAUUCCCUGGGGAAGUGGGACCAGGCAGACAUGGCCACUGCACCCCCAGCAUCCCAGCCUGAGGCACAGCUGGUUCUGAUUGUGGGGGCUCAGCUCCCCUUGGUGAAGUGAGCAUGUCAGGCAAAGACUGAAACUUAACCCCAGUCCUCAUCCCACUCCUCUCCAGGAGGAGCACAGAGGAGCCCUCCCAGUGGAUCCCUGUCUCCUGGGGUGAAGCUCCCAGGAAGUGGAUCUGGGGAAGCUCCAGCCAUGAGGACUAUGAAAAUAAACUGCCAACGAUGUGAAUGGGACAGAUUCAAAGUGAUGGAAGAUUUUCAGAGACCGCAGGCUGCACGCUGCGACAGGGAUCCAGAGAUGAACAUCUGCUUUUGGUGAGGGACGGAGCCCUGGUCCAGCAUCAAGUCAGCCAACCCACCUACCAGGGCAUCUGCCUGGGUCCUCACCAACAGACAUGGGUGCAGAACUGAAGCCAGGCAGCCACCGGGCCAGAUCCCCCACCCAGGUCUGAUAUCUGACUCUGGGCAACCCCAAUCUAAAGACAUUAAUAAAACUUUCUAAAAAAUGGUUCUUUCAUCUGAACUGACCCAUCCUCUGUGUGGCGUGGUAAAAUUUCAUGGCCUUGGGCUCAGUACUGCCUCUGUGUAUGUGAGUCACCCCUCUGUCUAGCUUUUUACAUCACCCACCCUGUAGUGGCCUGGGAGUUAUUUCCACAAUCAGAUCAACUGCCACCAUAUACCAAAGACCAGCCAUGAAAGUCCUUCCUUCGGGUGAAAAAGGGAAACUCGCAGUGUAAUAAACAAAUUAAAAACCAGCUUGUAGUGCUUGCUAAGAUCUGGGUAAGGAUGUUCCAGGGUUGGGCGUGGCAGUAAACUUUUAGCAAUCCUCCUGCUUCAGCCUCCUGGUGCUGGAAUUACAAAUGUGUGCCACUGUGCCCAGUUGCUGUUUUUAGUUUCUGGCCAUGGCUGAAUUUUAGCUUAUAAAAUCAUAGAUGAAAGAAAAGUAGUCAAGCCAGACACUGCGUGAGGUUUCAGACAACCAAUGGGCUCUUAGAAGACAUUCCCUAGGGGGCUGGAGAGAUGGCUCAGCGGUUAAGAGCACUGACUGUUCUUCCAAAGGUCCUGAGUUCAA